Molecule: non-coding RNA, 395 nt
Organism: Biomphalaria pfeifferi
Lineage: Eukaryota; Metazoa; Mollusca; Gastropoda; Planorbidae
Source: the annotation of a GenBank genome assembly
AACCCAUGUGAAACCUAGACCUCUGAAAAAUGGGGUCCUAAUGUAGAGCGUUCUCUUCUGUAAUUUCUGCAUUUGGUAUGUUGUUACCUUCCUUAUCCUAGCUCCCCCCACCCCAACCACUUUUUUGUGUUUAUAUAUAUACACCAUAAUAACUCUUGGCCUUCUCUACUAGUUUUAUUUGUCUCUGAACUGUAAAGAAAACUGGAUUCAAGUUUUUAAUAGAGAGAGAGAGAGAGAGACAAAUUCCUUUGGAAUAAAUUUGACCCAUUUAUAUUUGCUUUGAAGAGCUAAAUGUUCUAUUAACUUUGUUGACUUUGUAUUGUUCUAUUGGAUAUAAAGGUUUAGACAUCUUUAUAUUAUGAACAUAUUAAAAUUAAUGGUUUAUUAAAUAACAU